UCGAAUAAAGUACGACAGUAAACCUGCUGGUCCUGACUCUGAGUAGAAGGCUGACAAUGGCGCCACCUUGUGCAUAAUCCGAUCAUUACAGCCGACGUAAAAGCGCAACUCUCUGGCUAAACGCCCGCAGAUAAUCUGCAAGCGACGCGACAAACCAAAGCGGCUCUGUAAUAAUUAACAGCUCCGCGACGCGGUGAAACGAAGCGGCGUUGAUUGCAAGUUCGUCGCGUCGCGUCAGAUGGGCUUUAAGCUUCUGGGCGUCGCCUUGGUUCGACUCGGACCAAUAGGGGCUCCGCGCAGUACUUUGUAAACAACACCGUUGCACGCUGUAUGAAAACUUUACUACGAGAGAGGAUGUCGCGUGCCGAAGACCGCCAGAAAACCUCUUAAUUCGGUGGCCAUGGAUUUCACGUAGGCUAAAGCUAAUGCGUACAUUCAACACCUUGUUUGGUGGUGCACGACUACCCAAUGAAGGAAACAUCUGCCUGCGUGUUGCACCGUCUGCACCAGAUCACCACAGCCGGCUAACUGAGGGAGAACUUCUGCACAGUACAUCCACAUCGCUGGAGCAACUGCUGCUGCUCUCUCUCUCUCACACACACACACACACACACACACGUGAGGUUCUGCUUCAGCAUACCGCCAGCACCCUCCACAACAGCUGUGUGCAUGUGUCUGUUUGUGUAUGUGUGUGUCGACACAGGAACUAUCUCUUUUCAUCCAGCAGUUGGGAACAUGCCUUGGCCCUCACCGCUGGCCAUCAGCUCUGUUCCGUAUUCUUCUGGAGUGUGUGGACAUACACACACGCACGUGCACCCAGUUCCUGUGUGGUAACCUCGUUCAGAUGCAGUGAGUUACACUGAACAGGUUUUUCAGUGCAGACUAGCAGAGGUGUUAUAUCAGAGCUCGCUUUCAUCAGUAUUCAAACUAAAGUCUCCUAAUCCUGGUAUUUUUUUUUGGAUAAACCAGUGUAUCUGCUAAUUUAUAUGUAGUUUGUUAAAGGCGUUUUGUGAUUGGUGGUAUAUGUAACGGUUAUCACAUAAUCUGAUUAAAUGUUGCUUUUCAAAGCAAAAAAUAAAUAAAAUUCUCAGUGUUUUUCCUUUCUAAUACUAAUAUAUAAACAUACAUAGAUCAUGGAUAUAUUUAUAGGUAUGUAUUCUUGAAAAAAUCUAACCAAAUGAAAUGACUUCAAAUAUCUAUUAAUAAGCUAUGAAAACCCCAUUGUUUGUUUCUUAAAGGGAUAAUCUGAUUCACUUUUACAUUUAGUUUGAACUGAAAUGUGACAACCACUCUGUAAUGAUAAAAUCCAUCCAGAUAAAUAAUAUCCCCUUUUUCAAAUCAAGCCAUAUUGCAAAUCCCCUUUUCUAAUAUUGCACUAGUUACUAAUUUCACGAUGAAAGCAUCAUCUCAAUUAAUCUUGAUAUGUAUCUAGAAGAUGAAAAAGAUAAAAAUACAGAAUAAAAACAGUAUGAUUUCUUUGAAGUGUGACAGAAGGUACAGUAAAAGUUAUUUAAGUAUUCUGCUUCAUGGUCUAGCAAUUAUUUGUUUUUGUUCUUUCUGACUUGAUUUUGACUUUCCCUUCGAUUAGGUCACCAAUUAGUGGUCCUAAUUCAAAUCCGUGGUUUAUCCAUAAUGUAUCUUUAAUUUGUUUAUAUGAAUGUUUUCCCCCAGCAGAAAUAGAGCACUGAAUCAGCAUAUAUACCAUGUAAAUGUGCAUUUCAUUAUUUAUUUACAAAGGAAGCACAAUCAUGGGAAAGAGAGUCAAUGUAUUUACACUGGCUUAGGAGACAAAAAAAGCAUUUUAUUUCCAUAACUGGUUUCCUAUAAUGUUUCCAGUGCUAUAAAUAGAUCGGAAUAUAAUACUGACUUGAAUUUUUUUAUUUAUUAUAUUCAGAGAAUUUUGGUAAGACAUUUUAGAAAAGCACUAGAAGUAGAGUUAUUUCCUUGAUGCGACGUAAUGGUACUUUUCACCUGCAACUUCCACCUCUACUGCAACAUUGUAUAGGAAAGACCAUUGAGCUUUUAUACUUAGAUGAUCCUAGCCCUUUAGUUAGAAAGCAAAGUAAAAGUAAGCUUUCCCAGAGAAGAAAUGGCGGCAGUGACUCCUCUGGAAGUCCAGUCUGCCAAUGGCCUUGCUGUCCUCUCUACAAACCACAUAAAUAGUCUAGCGUGGGUAUGGCAUGAUCGGACAUUAAAAUAAUAAUUUAGCAAAAGGGAAAGCACAGGCCUGCUCAUUCCCAGAGCGAGUGGUGGGAAGAAUCGAUGACUUCCUUUUUCGAGUCUCUGUGGAUUAAGGACACAGCGUAGGUCCCGAGGGUGUCUAUCGUAUUAAUAGUCCUCUCAAUAAACUUGCAGAACAUGUGAGAACUUCUGGUCAAUGAAUCAAACAAGAGAUCGCGUGGAAAGCGCAUCUCCCAACCACGAGCGUGUAGUAUCUUGUAUCUUUCACACAAUGGGCAAGCAGCGAAGGUGUGUGACAUUUGAAUGCGUUAAAGACAGCAACCUGAGAUUUGAGCUUUUGAAGUGUCAGUCCAGGUUUCUAUUGCUCUGGAAUUGUCAGGCAUUAACCACAAGUCUGUCCCGGGGUGCAACGCCCUAAGCGAGGGAGUGGGGGACUUUUUCUCAGGUGAAGUGUUCCUGGGCUUUGUGUGGCACCACAAAUCGGAGUCCCAUACACAAGUAUGAGAAGCGCUCGAGUAUCGUAAAUAGAUCGGCAGCUCUGCCCUAUGGGAUGUGCUGGGCUGAUGACAUCGGGUCUCUAUGGUUACCAACGGGGAAAGCCCCAGCAUAUGUAUGCGUGACUCUAUUCACGAGAAUAUCAAUUAAGGAUCACAUGUCGAGUCUGACACUCUUCAGUUGUGUGAAACACUCGAGCUUGUUGUGGAAAAAAAUAGCAAUUAGGAAUGGGAAGAUCGAUCUCUGAAGUAUUGAUACGUUCUAUGUGUUAUCGAGAAGAAUUUUACCCGAUUUAGCAUUUUAAUUUAAAUUAAAUCUGUAAUUUUGUUUGGUAAAAUAUAAAUUUGAAUACAAAUGAAAGAGAUUUUAGUAAUGAUUUUACUGUUAAUGUAGCAUAUAUAUUAAUCUAAAAAAGAAUUAAAAUUAGGAAAUAGUUAUAUGCUCAUUUUUAACAUUUAGAAAUUAUGAAAAACAUAAUUUUAACACUAUAAAAGACUUCAAAACGGCAAAGCUAUAUCCAACAUUUAAUUUAAUGAGUUGGUGUGAUGGUUUAUUACAUCGAUAAAUAUUUACAUUUUGUCAUACUCUGUAACAAAAAAUAAAGAAGAAAAAAAAGAUAUUGCAGUUUACAUGGUAAAUUAAAUUAAAUUCAAAAUUUGAACUAUUUCUUUAACUGGUACAUAGUUGUACCAGAAAUGAACUCUGGGAACGUAGAAUGCAAAUUCUUAUCUUUUCACAUAAAGUCAAACAUGGAGAACAGAAAUUAAUAUAAUUGUUCAUUUAAUUGUUUAGCUAGAACGUUGAAGUACGGCCAGAAAGAAUAGGUUUCAUUUCUUCUCUAGCUUACAUCUCCCUAAGAUGAGUUCCUCCGAAGGGUGGCAAUUGUCCGGCAUUGGGGACAAACCCAUGGUCCCUGAACAGGCACAGGAGUCACCAGCGUACAUACCGACAUACCACACUGAUGGUUGAACACGUCCCAGAGCGAAGGCCACCCAGCUUCGUCGGCCCUCCGCGGUCUACCUUCCGCGUUCCUUGUCGGGUCCGACCGAGGAUCAAGGGCAGGCCGCGCGUCGGGGGACACUGUAAUGAGUGCAGGGGCCUGGCCAUCACUUUCAAGCUCUGGCCCAGGAGUGUAUUUUCAUCAAACGCUAUUUCCUGCAGAUAAGACCCAAACAUUUCUCCUCUUUUCAUAUUUUUAGGGUGGGAGGAAAAGGGAGUGAUUGACAUGAUUUUGAAUGAGGGAAUCAUCUGCUCUGGUAGCAUUGCACUCUGUCAGUGUUAAAGCUCAUCUGCCAAAGUAUAUGUAUAAGUACUAGCUUUGUGAAUAACUGCUUAUCUAUGGUUUGUUGUGUUCGGGCCCCUUCCAUUCAAACAUAAUGUAACUCUGCUCUCUGGCUCUUUAAUAGCUUAAUCAGGCCUGUAUUACACUAUUACUUUACUCACCCAAGACCUUGCAAAUUGUUUCCAGCUUUGAGGAAAAUCAGUUAAGAUAGUUUGCAGGCCCUGAUAGGCAGUAGAUUUUAAUUUAGCGUAGUUGGUCCUUGUUCUUUUUCUUUUGGUUUUUUUGUUUAGACUACAGAGAGUUUGAUAUUUGCCUUAUCUGACUUUGUUUGAGCUCAGUAGCAUAUUGCUUGCUGUUGGCAUUCCCACAGUUGGAAGGUGUAUUGUGUCAAUGUAUGUAAAACAUUAGGAGCUCAUCUGAAUCUGAACUGAAUGACACUAUCACAAGAGAGAGGAGCACGAGCAGACAAGGACAAACAUGGUACUUCCUUCCACGUGCCUCUGCCGUGAUCCCAAUCAUUCAUAAAUUUGCACAGCCAGGGAAGUUUGGAAGUCUGUCCAUCCUGUUCAUUAUCUAGAAGCCUCUGGCCAUUAGGCUGGAAUGAGAAACCAAACACAGGCUCAUCUUUAGAUAACGUCAUGGUCCGGAGGGACGGCAACCUGAAAGCCCUAACAGCUCCCUUUUCCGCUGGCUCUGUGUCAGUUCAUCACUCCCUGCCUACUUUCAUCUGGCCUCACUCUCUCUUUUCUUGGUUUAUGUCCUUCCCUGUCAAUGCUCUUCUGUAGUGCUUGUACUGACAGCAGUUCACAGUGACUGGAAGUUUUCAUUAUGGUUGGUUGUUUAUGACAUUGUAAGCAACAGAAACUGUUUUUGAUGCAUCAAAGCAAAGAGCAAAUAUUUAUGUGCAACAAAAUGCAACCAGCACAGCUUAUGCGAUCUACCGUCUGAUAAGGUUUUUUUUUUACUGUAGUUGAAUUAGUCUACUACAAACAGUAAACUUGGUAUCAUCCUAUGAUUUAAUCUCAGUCUUUCUUGCCCAGAUUAUUGCUUUGCUUCUUGUUUCUGCCUUUUUCAUUAUUUCUUACCUGAUAAAUACUUAGCACAAAGACAUUACUGCUUUACCAUGUUUUAUUUUUCAUGUCUUUCUUUUCAGUUGAUUCUGAAACGGAUGAAAAGAGGACCAGUGUUUCUUACCAGCACUGUAUUUUUGUAUAAAAAUGAAUUAAACAUAUUUAUUAUGUCCUAUUUUAUUUACCAGUUAAAGUUAUUUAUGUAUUUGUAUAUCAUUUCAGUAAUAACCUAUGUAAAACAUAUUUACAAAUAAAUUGUAUACAUUAUUUAUAUAAUUUAUGUCAUGACAAGUCAGGGAAUAGUUUGUAAAAUUGUAUUACUGUAAAUAGAACUUGCAUAGGUUAGGUCAUUGCAGACUACUUGCUGCUGCAAGCAAUUCUGAUAAAUGCUCAAAUCAUAAAAUGAAAAGGAAACAUGCUGUUGCUGCUGCUGCUAGAGAGGAAGAGUUCAUGUAUCAGAUCUAGAUAGGUGGUACUGGGGAGGAGGUGGGCUAAAAUGUGUACCUGCAUACAGUAAUUUGCAGACAUAUCAUUGAAUAUAUCCCAGAGAAACU
Long non-coding RNA from Puntigrus tetrazona (Sumatra barb), 5582 nucleotides. RefSeq lists it as uncharacterized. Lineage: Eukaryota; Metazoa; Chordata; Actinopteri; Cypriniformes; Cyprinidae. The record is from RefSeq and is a predicted model, not a curated record. The transcript has 3 exons.